Molecule: ribosomal RNA, 492 nt
Filed under: uncultured bacterium
Lineage: Bacteria
Description: partial 16S ribosomal RNA
Rfam family: Bacterial small subunit ribosomal RNA
Source: RNAcentral
AGUGAACGCUGGCGGUAGGCCUAACACAUGCAAGUCGAACGGCAGCACAGUAAGAGCUUGCUCUUACGGGUGGCGAGUGGCGGACGGGUGAGGAAUACAUCGGAAUCUACUUUUUCGUGGGGGAUAACGUAGGGAAACUUACGCUAAUACCGCAUACGACCUACGGGUGAAAGCAGGGGAUCUUCGGCCCUUGCGCGAUUGAAUGAGCCGAUGUCGGAUUAGCUAGUUGGCGGGGUAAAGGCCCAACAAGGCGACGAUCCGUAGCUGGUCUGAGAGGAUGAUCAGCCACACUGGAACUGAGACACGGUCCAGACUCCUACGGGAGGCAGCAGUGGGGAAUAUUGGACAAUGGGCGUAAGCCUGAUCCAGCCAUACCGCGUGGGUGAAGAAGGCCUUCGGGUUGUAAAGCCCUUUUGUUGGGAAAGAAAAGCAGCAGGUUAAUACCCCGCUGUUCUGACGGUACCCAAAGAAUAAGCACCGGCUAACUUCGUG